RNAcentral lists this ribosomal RNA (272 nucleotides) under uncultured soil bacterium. RNAcentral's name for it is "partial 16S ribosomal RNA". It matches the Rfam family "Bacterial small subunit ribosomal RNA", at positions 26 to 285 of the family's 1533-position model. The record is from RNAcentral.
AGAAUCAACGCUGGCGGCGUGCCUAACACAUGCAAGUCGAACGCGAAAGUGGAGCAAUCCAUUAGUAGAGUGGCAAACGGGUGAGUAACACGUGGGCGACCUACCUCAGAGUGGGGGAUAACCUUCCGAAAGGAGGGCUAAUACCGCAUGACAUCCCGUGUUUGGAUACACGGAGAUCAAAGCCGGGGAUCGCGAGACCUGGCGCUUGGAGAGGGGCCCGCGUCCGAUUAGCUAGUUGGUGAGGUAACGGCUCACCAAGGCUCCGAUCGGUA